GGUAACUCCGGGCCAGCAGCCGGGGGAAUGCGGAGGGUGGAAGCGUUAAUCGGAAUUACUGGGCGUAAAUCGGACGCAGGCGGUCUGUUAAGUCGGAUGGGAAAUCCCCGGGCUCAACCUGGGAACUGCAUUCGAAACUGGCAGGCUAGAGUCUUGUAGAGGGGGGUAGAAUUCCAGGUGUAGCGGUGAAAUGCGUAGAGAUCUGGAGGAAUACCGGUGGCGAAGGCGGCCCCCUGGACAAAGACUGACGCUCAGGUGCGAAAGCGUGGGGAGCAAACAGGAUUAGAUACCCGAGUAGUC
RNAcentral lists this ribosomal RNA (300 nucleotides) under uncultured Roseomonas sp. RNAcentral describes it as "bacterial SSU rRNA". It matches the Rfam family "Bacterial small subunit ribosomal RNA", at positions 496 to 795 of the family's 1533-position model. Lineage: Bacteria; Pseudomonadati; Pseudomonadota; Alphaproteobacteria; Acetobacterales; Roseomonadaceae. The record is from RNAcentral.